ACUUAGUCACCUAAAAGUGACUCAUCAACACCAAAAAAACACCUAAAAGGGACCAUCAACACACAGAAAAGUAAUGGCUACAACCAGUGGAAGCCUCUUGAAAUCCAGUAGUAUAAAAGUGGCUUGCCAGUCACGGUGGCUCACACCUGUAAUCCCAGCAUUCUGGGAGGCCAAGGCGGGUGGAUCACGAGGUCAGGAGUUCAAGACCAGCCUGGCCAAGGUGUUGAACCCUCGUCUCUACUAAAAACACAAAAAUUAGCCAGGCACGGUGGCGGGCGCCUAUAAUCCCAGCUACUUGGAAGACUGAGGCAGGAGAACCACUUGAACCCAGGUAGUGGAGGUUGCAGUGAGUAUACCACUGCACUCUAGCCUGGGUGACAGAGCAAGACUCUGUCUCAAUAACUAAAAAUAAAAAAAAAAAUCAGUGGUUUACAUUAUACGAUCCAAGAGCGAUUAAAUCACAUAUACUUCAGAAAUGAUUUUUUAAAAGUUUUAAACAGAAAUAGAGCACCUGAGAAUUAUUCUUUACAGUUAUAUAAUUAAAAAACCACCUCAACUUACCUUCCAGAGAGGGCCCUCAUAUCGUUUCAAUGCUUUGUAGAUGACCUGUCAAAAACAUGUUUUCAUGAAAAAUGCAUCUACAUAUUUCAAACAUUCAAAAAUUUUUUUCUAAAAAUUAUUAGAUAAAUUUAAUUCAUUACUCUGUACCUUAUUACCAACAAGAAUGUGUUUCAUUUCAGCACCCUGGGCAAGGUCAAGAGGUUUCUGAUCUGUGCAAAAUACAAAGAAAAAAAGCCAUCAACAGCUUAAAUGUACUAUGACAAUCAAUGCUGUAACUGCAGCAUCUAAUAGUCCUUCAUUUUUCUAUUGCCUAUAUCUUUUUCUUUCCCCAGAAAAUUACCUACCAGAGAGAGGUUGCCAUCUCAAUUAUUUAUGGCCUCCCUUUUGGUCGCUAACUAUUAAGCCAGCAAAUCAGAUUAACUUCACAACAAAUUAUCAUGAACUCAUAAAUUUGUGGCUUAAACAAUACAAAUUUAUUAUCUUACAGUUUCAGAGAUCAGAAGUCUGAAAUCAAUUUCACUGGGCUGAAAUCAACAUGUGGACAGAGCUGCAUUCCUUCUGGAGGCUCUAAGGGAGACAUUUCCUUGCCUUUUCCACUUCUAGCGGCCAACUACCUGACUUGACAUGGGGUCUCUUCCUCCAUCUCCAAAGCACAUCAUUCCAACCUCUGCUUCCAGCAUUCUGUUCUCUCUCUCUCUAUAGCCCUCCCUCCUAUCAGGAGCCUUGUAACUACAUAGAUCUACCUGGAUAAUUCAGGAUUUCCCCUCAUCUCAAGAUACCUAACUAAUCACAAAUUUGGGGUCCACUCUUUAGCCGACCACAGCCACGCUUCAGCCGUCUCGCUGCAUAAUGGGUAGCAGAGAUGGCUCACAAGCUGAGGGUGUGAUGGUCCACAAUUUAGGACAAAAGAAAAAGGUGACAAUGGAGAAUAAAGCCGGCAAGCUAUCAAUGUUAAUUUUUCCAACCUUACACAUGCACAUUCCAUGUUUUGCCCAACAACAACAAAAAUGGAGUUUGUCUUAUCAAAGUUAUUUAUAGAGUUCUGAAGUGAGCAGGACAUUAAAUGAAGGACAAAAGGUAAAAAAACAAACAAACAAAAACCCACAAAUAAAUCAAACCAUCUCCUAGCCUCAAAUAGCUUAUUAUUAGAGAAAUGAAAGCUACCUAUGAAAAUUAGAACAGUCCUUUCAAAACAACAUAUCAAUGAGAACUCUGGAACUGUUUAUGCAGGAAGGUGAUAUAUUCUAUCAGAUAACCUUUUAGGCCAGGCGCAGUGGCUCACAACUAUAAUCCCAGUACUCUGGGAGGCUAAGGCGGAAGGAUGGCUUGAGGCCAGAAGCUUAAGACUCGCCGGGGUAAUACAGUGAGACCUUAUCUCUACAAAAAAAAAAAAAAAAAAUUUAAUUAGCCAGGCACGGUGGCAUGUGCCUACAGUCCCAGCUACCACUGCACUCCAGACUGGGUGACAGAGUGAGACUCUGUCUCUAAAAACAAAAAGGGGGGCUGGGGGUGGUUUAAAAUAAUAAUAUUUUUAUAAAUACCAAACAUCUGGUAUGUGUUGGCAAUUUUUUUGUAUGAUAUCCCCUAAUGAGGGUCUGUUAUGUACCGAUUACUAUUUUAGGCACUGAGGAUUCAGCAGUGAACAUAACAGAAAAAAUACUGGGGGGAUGGGAAAGCAUAGAAGGUGGGAAAGACAGAUGAUAAAUUAAUUCUUAAAGAUACAGCAGACAAUGAACCACGGUACGCCCAGACUUUUUAAAUAAAUGAUUUGACAGAGUAACUGGGAUACCACUUUAGAUUGGAGGAUGAGGGGUUGAUCAGGGAAGGCCUCUUUGAGGAAGGGAUGUCUAGGUUGAAAAGAAGGAUCCAGCCUUGUGAAAAUACAGGGAAGGACAUUCUAGCAGAGGAACAGCUGAUGCAAAGGCUCUGAGGUAGGAACAAUUCAGCAGGCAAGAGAUAAAGUCAGAGAGGCACGCAGAGGCCACAUCACACAAGGGGUUUGUAGGCCAGACUUUUGUAAGCCAGCAUAAGGAGUUUGAGUUUUAUUCUAAAUAGGAUGAAAAGCCACUGAAGGGUUUUAAGUAAGAGUAACAUGAUCUGACUCAUGUUUAAAACUCUGUCAAAGUGUUAAAAAAUUAUAAUAUAGGCCGGGUGCAGUGACGCAUGCCUGUAAUCCCAGCACUUUGGGAGGCCGAGGUGGGCAGAUCACCUUAGGUCAGGAGUUCGAGACCAGCCUGGCCAACAUGGUGAAACCCCCAUCUCUACUAAAAAUACAAAAAUUAGCUGGGUGUGGUGGCAGGCACCUGUAAUCCCAGCUACUCUGGAGACUGAGGCAGGAGAAUCACUUGAACCUGAGAGGCGGAGUUGCAGUGAGCUGAGAUCGCGCCAUUGCACUCCAGCCUGGGGAACAAGAGCAAGACUUCGUCUCAAAAAAAAAAAAAAAAAGAAAAGAAAAGAAUAAUAAUAAUAACUGGGAAAACACAAACUUUGGCAGUUCCAUGAUUUUGAUAAAUUACUAGAAUAUUAUUAAUAGGAUAAUGCUAUUGUGCUUAUGUUUUUUAAUAGCCCCAUUGAGAUACAAAUUAACAUACAAUUUACUCACUUAAACUGCACAAAUUCAAUGGUUUUUAUAGGUGCACAGAGUUGUGCAACUAUCACAUGCUUGUGGUUUUUGUUAAAGGGUGUCCUUAUUUUUUACUAAUAUACUGGACUACAGAUGUUCCCCAACUUACAACAGUUCAACUUAAUGGUUUUUCAACUAUCACAGCUCACCACAGCCUCGACCUCUUGGGCUCAAGUGAUCCUCUCACCUCAGCCUCCCUGGUAGCUGGAACUGCAGUCAUGUGUCAUCACACCUGGCUAAUUUUUGUAUUUUUUUGUAGGAAUGGGGUUUCACCAGGUUAGUCUCAAAUUCCUAGGCUCAAGCGAUCUGCCAGCCUCAGCAUCCCAGAGUGCUGGGAUUACAGGUGUGAGCUACUGUACCUGGCCUUAAGUGUAUUUUCAAUUUACAAUGGUUCUAUGAGGACGUGGCCCCACAGUAAGUUGAGGAGCACUGGGUAUGUAUGAAUAAAAUGGCAUGACAGGCCUUCUCUUUCCAGUUCUUCCCAGAAUUGGGAAAAGCUGGGUUGAGAGGGUAAGAAAAGAAAAACAAAUAAAUUUUUUAAAAAGAAAAAGAGAUGGCAUGAUAUCUGGAAUUGUUUCACAAGAAUUCAGGGAGUAGGAAGAGAUACAGAGUGGCCAUUAUUGCUAAGUUCUGGAGGAGGGUGAUGGGUACAUCAAUUAAUUAUGCUAUUUGAUUUCUGAAGCUUUGAUAAUUUCCAUGAUUUUUUUUAAAAAGGUCACUCUGGCUGUUGUGUGCAAUAUGGCUUGUAAACGUGGGCAAAAGAAAUGCAGGGAGGCUAAUUACAAAGAGAUGGCAAUAGUGCAGGUAAAGGAUACUGGUGGUUUGGACUAGAAAGUCAGUAGUAAAAUGGAGAUCAUUUUUAACAUAGAGAGAAAUAUGUGACUUUUUUUUUUUUUUUUUUUUUGAGACAGAGUUUCCCUCUGUUGCCCAGGCUGGAGUGCAGUGGCACCAUCUCAGCUCACUGCAAGCUCUGCCUCCCGGGUUCAUGCUAUUCUCCUGCCUCAGCCUCCUGAGUAGCUGGGACUACAGGCGCCCACCAUCACGCCCGGCUAAUUUUUUGUAUUUGUUUUUUUUUUUUUAGUAGAGAUGGGGUUUCACUGUGUUAGCCAGGAUGGUCUCGAUCUCCUGACCUCGUGAUCUGCCCGCCUGGGCCUCCCAAAGUGUUGGGAUUACAGGUGUGAGCCACCGUGCCCGGCCUUGUAUGUGGCUUUAAGAUUUAUUUUGGAGGAAGAUUUAUAGAGCUGCUGAUGGGGAACCUGGGGCUGGUGAUACAUUACUUCUUUAGUGGGGAAAAAACUUUUUAAAACAUUAACCAAAAAAUUAAUACUCAGUUUAGUUUUUCUGCCUAGCACAUAGGAAAAUGCCUUAUAGAGGUCUGCCAAUUCUGUGUUAUUUUCAUUCUACCUACAGGGCACUUUGGAGAAAUUAUUUCUUUAGGCAGAGAGAAAGACAACACUAUGAUUUCUUUCAUAGAAUUCUGCCCUAAUACCAAAAAUAAAUUCUGAACUCCUGCCAACUAGAUGAAAUUCCAGAAGAGAGACCUCAUUUCUGGAUUUGAUGUCUAAAAUGCCUGGCACACAGUAAGAAUUCAAUAAAAUGCUUUUGAACUAAAUGAAAUAGCCUCCUAGAUGGAAUCUAGAUGGGUUCCACCACCAGUUAAAAAAUACACUAUCUCUCUUACCAACCACAACAAAAUAAAGUGAAAAACAGGAAUGAUGUAAUAUUUAAAAGUUUGCAUGACACAGAUUUGUCCCUUAAUGGGAAAAUUUAAUAAAGAUGCCAAUUCUCCUUAAAUUAAUUUACAUAGAAUGUAAUUUCAAUUAAAUCCCAAUGAAGAGCCUCAGAAAAUUAUUUUAAAUGCCUUCUGGAAGAAUAAACAGAUAAGGAUGUCAAAGAAAAUCCUUAAAAAUGGUAAGGGGAAAUCUCACAUAUUAAAACAUUAUAACCAUUAAAAGUGCAAUACUAUCUUAAAAACUUUUUUUUAAUGCGAUACUGUCGAAAGAAGAGACAGAUGAGUGAAUAAAAAACAAUAAAAAAUACAAAAAGAGACUGGGCACCAUGGCUCAUGCCUGUAAUCCCAGCACUUUGGGAGGCUGAGGUGGGUGGAUCGCUUGAUGCCAGCAGUUCGAGACCAGCCCAGCCAACAUGAUGAAAUCCCAUUUCUACUAAAAAUACAAAAAUUAGCAGAGACGGGGUUUCACCAUCUUGGCCAGGCUGGUCUUGAACUCCUGACCUCGUGAUCCACCCACCUCAGCCUCCCAAAGUGCUGGGAAUACAGGCGUGAGCCACCACACCCAGCCAGG
This 5487-nucleotide long non-coding RNA is filed under the name Homo sapiens (human). Its description in RNAcentral is "HSALNT0248966". The stretch from base 3635 to 3710 matches the Rfam family "mir-320 microRNA precursor family". The record is from RNAcentral. Lineage: Eukaryota; Metazoa; Chordata; Mammalia; Primates; Hominidae.